GUCAGAACGAUGACUUUUGUGCUUGCACAGAAUGAUUAGUGGCGAACGGGUGAGUAACACGUGAGUAACCUGCCCCUGACUCUGUGGAUAAGCCUGGGAAACUGGGUCUAAUACCGGAUAUGCACCGUGGACCGCAUGGUUCUUGGUGGAAAGAUUUUUUGGUCAGGGAUGGACUCGCGGCCUAUCAGCUUGUUGGUGAGGUAAUGGCUCACCAAGGCGACGACGGGUAGCCGGCCUGAGAGGGUGACCGGCCACACUGGGACUGAGACACGGCCCAGACUCCUACGGGAGGCAGCAGUGGGGAAUAUUGCACAAUGGGCGAAAGCCUGAUGCAGCGACGCCGCGUGAGGGAUGACGGCCUUCGGGUUGUAAACCUCUUUCAGUAGGGAAGAAGCGAAAGUGACGGUACCUGCAGAAGAAGCGCCGGCUAACUACGUGCCAGCAGCCGCGGUAAUACGUAGGGCGCAAGCGUUAUCCGGAAUUAUUGGGCGUAAAGAGCUCGUAGGCGGUUUGUCGCGUCUAUCGUGAAAGUCCGAGGCUCAACCUCGGAUCUGCGGUGGGUACGGGCAGACUAGAGUGAUGUAGGGGAGACUGGAAUUCCUGGUGUAGCGGUGAAAUGCGCAGAUAUCAGGAGGAACACCGAUGGCGAAGGCAGGUCUCUGGGCAUUAACUGACGCUGAGGAGCGAAAGCAUGGGGAGCGAACAGGAUUAGAUACCCUGGUAGUCCAUGCCGUAAACGUUGGGCACUAGGUGGUGGGGGACAUUCCACGUUUUCCGCGCCGGUAGCUAACGCAAUUAAGUGCCCCCGCCUGGGGAGUACGGCCGCAAGGCUAAAACUCAAAGGAAAUUGACGGGGGCCCGCACAAGCGGCGGAGCAUGCGGAUUAAUUCGAUGCAACGCGAAGAACCUUACCCAAGGCUUGACAUGUGCCAGACCGCCGUGGAAACACGGUUUCCCCUUUGGGGCUGGUUCACAGGUGGUGCAUGGUUGUCGUCAGCUCGUGUCGUGAGAUGUUGGGUUAAGUCCCGCAACGAGCGCAACCCUCGUUCCAUGUUGCCAGCGCGUAAAGGCGGGGACUCAUGGGAGACUGCCGGGGUCAACUCGGAGGAAGGUGGGGACGACGUCAAAUCAUCAUGCCCCUUAUGUCUUGGGCUUCACGCAUGCUACAAUGGCCGGUACAAUGGGUUGCGAUACUGUGAGGUGGAGCUAAUCCCGAAAAAGCCGGUCUCAGUUCGGAUUGGGGUCUGCAACUCGACCCCAUGAAGUGGGAGUCGCUAGUAAUCGCAGAUCAGCAACGCUGCGGUGAAUACGUCCCGGGCCUUGUACACACCGCCCGUCAAGUCACGAAAGUUGGUAACACCCGAAGCCGGGGCUAACCCCUUGUGGGACCGAGACAAUUUGAGGGGGGUGUUUUAUCACUCACCCCUAAAAUUUCCCCCUGGGGU
This 1445-nucleotide ribosomal RNA is filed under the name bacterium. Its description in RNAcentral is "bacterial SSU rRNA". It matches the Rfam family "Bacterial small subunit ribosomal RNA". The record is from RNAcentral.